RNAcentral lists this ribosomal RNA (550 nucleotides) under uncultured bacterium. RNAcentral describes it as "bacterial SSU rRNA". It matches the Rfam family "Bacterial small subunit ribosomal RNA", at positions 355 to 896 of the family's 1533-position model. The record is from RNAcentral.
UAGGGAAUCUUCGGCAAUGGACGGAAGUCUGACCGAGCAACGCCGCGUGAGUGGAGAAGGUUUUCGGAUCGUAAAGCCCUGUUGUAAGAGAAGAACGAGUGUGAGAGUGGAAAGUUCACACUGUGACGGUAUCUUACCAGAAAGGGACGGCUAACUACGUGCCAGCAGCCGCGGUAAUACGUAGGUCCCGAGCGUUGUCCGGAUUUAUUGGGCGUAAAGCGAGCGCAGGCGGUUAGAUAAGUCUGAAGUUAAAGGCUGUGGCUUAACCAUAGUAGGCUUUGGAAACUGUUUAACUUGAGUGCAAGAGGGGAGAGUGGAAUUCCAUGUGUAGCGGUGAAAUGCGUAGAUAUAUGGAGGAACACCGGUGGCGAAAGCGGCUCUCUGGCUUGUAACUGACGCUGAGGCUCGAAAGCGUGGGGAGCAAACAGGAUUAGAUACCCUGGUAGUCCACGCUGUAAACGAUGAGUGCUAGGUGUUAGACCCUUUCCGGGGUUUAGUGCCGUAGCUAACGCAUUAAGCACUCCGCCUGGGGAGUACGACCGCAAGGUUG